GACGAACGCUGGCGGCGUGCCUAAUACAUGCAAGUUGAGCGCUGAAGGUUGGUACUUGUGCCAACUGGAUGAGCAGCGAACGGGUGAGUAACGCGUGGGGAAUCUGCCUUUGAGCGGGGGACAACAUUUGGAAACGAAUGCUAAUACCGCAUAAAAACUUUAAACACAAGUUUUAAGUUUGAAAGAUGCAAUUGCAUCACUCAAAGAUGAUCCCGCGUUGUAUUAGCUAGUUGGUGAGGUAAAGGCUCACCAAGGCGAUGAUACAUAGCCGACCUGAGAGGGUGAUCGGCCACAUUGGGACUGAGACACGGCCCAAACUCCUACGGGAGGCAGCAGUAGGGAAUCUUCGGCAAUGGACGAAAGUCUGACCGAGCAACGCCGCGUGAGUGAAGAAGGUUUUCGGAUCGUAAAACUCUGUUGGUAGAGAAGAACGUUGGUGAGAGUGGAAAGCUCAUCAAGUGACGGUAACUACCCAGAAAGGGACGGCUAACUACGUG
RNAcentral lists this ribosomal RNA (497 nucleotides) under uncultured bacterium. Its description in RNAcentral is "partial 16S ribosomal RNA". It matches the Rfam family "Bacterial small subunit ribosomal RNA", at positions 28 to 507 of the family's 1533-position model. The record is from RNAcentral.